Molecule: long non-coding RNA, 555 nt
Organism: Pan troglodytes (chimpanzee)
Lineage: Eukaryota; Metazoa; Chordata; Mammalia; Primates; Hominidae
Source: Ensembl
AUGAAGAAUAUAUCACUGAGAUUAAUGGCCCUGGGUUGCAGCCAAAAGCAUCUCAGAGGUAGAACACUGUUGCAGAUGGUGAUGUUACCAUUUGAAAGUAAGAAGAAAACUAGUAUCUCUUGGGUCACCAAGAGUAAAAAUAGAGAAGAUGCUUACAAACUGCAACACAUAGAGUUUCUUGAAAUCACAGUUUGGGAGUGGAGGAAAAGGCUGCUUAAGUGUUUGGAAAGGGAGACUAAGGAUGAAAUAGAGUGGGGGUAUGAUGCAUUUCCUGACUGUGGUCGGCUUUCCAUGGGUGAAACAGAAAAGUCUUCAAAUAUCCUCACCAACUGCUUUCCUAGAUUUUUCAGCCAGUUACUUGACCAUAUUAGGAAAAGAAAGGCAGAGCUUCGAAGCUGUGUGUCAGUCUCCUCUCCCCUCAUCCUUUCUCAGCCUGGAUCUCCAAAUGACAAGUUCUGAAACAGAGGCCCCAAAAACCCAUAACUGGCAUUCAGAGUGAGUGAGAAGGGAACCUUUCUGGUUAUAAACUGCUAACAUCAUGGAGUUAACUGAUAC